UGUGAAGAAUGAAAUAGUGAGUGGCAAAGUGCUUUGGGAGCUGCGAAGAGUGGUGUCAACAUGAGGACAAGGACAGUCAUGGUGGUUCCACUUUACCCCCUUAGAGCUCAGCCUCCUCUGACAAGACAGAUGUGUUGGGUGCCUGAGUGUCCCCUGCCAUUCCAACUUUUGCUGGAUGAGGAGGUCUCUGCGGGCCCACUUAAAAACUUCUGAAGUGGUGUUGAUUUGGACGUACGGCUAGGGACAGAACUGAGAAAUGCCUGGACUUGGAGGUGAAGAGAGAUGAGGGGAGGGGUAACUGCUACUUGAUGACAGCCUCGGCACCCCUGAAGGAAGGCCCUUUGCUGUGAACUCUCCAGUCUCUCCUCCUCAACUGACAGCACAAAAACUGUCCACAAGGAGUGACUGCUAAAUGCACAGGUAUAGGACGGAAGUAUCUAUUUUAGGGGACUUAUCUUUGUAGUGGCUUUGUUGUAACUCCGAGAUGGUGGAAUUAGCUCAAAUAAAGGAUGCAGAAAGCCUGAGCUCCGGCCAAGUCUCAUCACUCACUAGCCUUGGGCAGCUGGAAACAUCAUUUCAGCACCCAUUUUCCACAUCUAUAAAGUGACUGCAAUGGCCAUGACAGUAUUACAAUAAAAAUUAUGUCUCCACUUAUUUGUCGUGUCACUCUGAGGGGUAAGUAUGAUUAUAACCUGAAGAUACU
Molecule: long non-coding RNA, 703 nt
Filed under: Sus scrofa (pig)
Lineage: Eukaryota; Metazoa; Chordata; Mammalia; Artiodactyla; Suidae
Description: lncRNA (ENSSSCG00060023826.1)
Source: RNAcentral